GGUAUUGAAAUAAGAUUUUAAAUGAGUGCUAAGAGAAUGAUUAAACAAUUAAAAACUUUCUUUAAUUAAAUAAUUAAAUUUAAUUUUUUUGUGCAAAAGCAAAAAUAAAAUUUAGGGACAAGAAGACCCUAUGAAUUUUUAUUAUUAAUGUUUUGCAAUUAAAUUAUUAAUAAUUUAAUUGGGGCGAUAAAAAAAGAAUAAAUAUCUUUUUAAUUAUUAAAUAAGUUCCGUUUUUAGCGAUUAAAUGAAAAAAAUACUCUAGGGAUAACAGCGUAAUAAUUUUGGAUAGUUCAUAUAGAUAAAAUAGUUUGCGACCUCGAUGUUGGAUUAGGAUUCUUUUUUGGUGUAGAA
This 351-nucleotide ribosomal RNA is filed under the name Ixodes scapularis (black-legged tick). RNAcentral describes it as "partial 16S ribosomal RNA". The record is from RNAcentral. Lineage: Eukaryota; Metazoa; Arthropoda; Arachnida; Ixodida; Ixodidae.